This 247-nucleotide ribosomal RNA is filed under the name uncultured Bradyrhizobiaceae bacterium. RNAcentral describes it as "partial 16S ribosomal RNA". It matches the Rfam family "Bacterial small subunit ribosomal RNA", at positions 796 to 1041 of the family's 1533-position model. Lineage: Bacteria; Pseudomonadati; Pseudomonadota; Alphaproteobacteria; Hyphomicrobiales; Nitrobacteraceae. The record is from RNAcentral.
CACGCCGUAAACGAUGAAUGCCAGCCGUUGGGGAGUUUACUCUUCAGUGGCGCAGCUAACGCUUUAAGCAUUCCGCCUGGGGAGUACGGUCGCAAGAUUAAAACUCAAAGGAAUUGACGGGGGCCCGCACAAGCGGUGGAGCAUGUGGUUUAAUUCGACGCAACGCGCAGAACCUUACCAGCUCUUGACAUGUCCAUGACCGGUCGCAGAGAUGCGGCUUUCCCUUCGGGGCAUGGAACACAGGUGC